Molecule: ribosomal RNA, 229 nt
Filed under: uncultured bacterium
Lineage: Bacteria
Description: partial 16S ribosomal RNA
Rfam family: Bacterial small subunit ribosomal RNA
Source: RNAcentral
CAAGUAGGCGGCUUAGAAAGUGAGGGGUGAAAUCUUCCGACUCAAUCGGAAAACUGCCUUUCAAACUUCUGAGCUUGAAGCAUAAAGAGGUAAGCGGAAUCCUUGGUGUAAGGGUGAAAUCUGUAGAUAUCAAGAAGAACACCGGCGGCGAAGGCGGCUUACUGGUUAUGUCCUGACGCUAAAUUGCGAAAGCUAGGGGAGCAAACAGGAUUAGAUACCCUGGUAGUCC